This 444-nucleotide ribosomal RNA is filed under the name uncultured bacterium. Its description in RNAcentral is "SSU rRNA". It matches the Rfam family "Bacterial small subunit ribosomal RNA", at positions 26 to 518 of the family's 1533-position model. The record is from RNAcentral.
AGAGCGAACGCUGGCGGCAGGCCUAACACAUGCAAGUCGAGCGCCCCGCAAGGGGAGCGGCAGACGGGAGAGUAACACGUGGGAACGUACCCUUUGGUUCGGAACAACACAGGGAAACCUGUGCUAAUACCGGAUAAGCCCUUACGGGGAAAGAUUUAUUGCCAAAGGAUCGGCCCGCGUCUGAUUAGCUUGUUGGUGAGGUAACGGCUCACCAAGGCUACGAUCAGUAGCUGGUCUGAGAGGAUGAUCAGCCUCACUGGGACUGAGACACGGCCCAGACUCCUACGGGAGGCAGCAGUGGGGAAUAUUGGACAAUGGGCGCAAGCCUGAUCCAGCCAUGCCGCGUGGAUGAUGAAGGCCCUAGGGUUGUAAAGUCCUUUCGACGGGGAAGAUAAUGACGGUACCCGUAGAAGAAGCCCCGGCUAACUUCGUGCCAGCAGCCGC